GUGUUCUUGUCCAUUUUCAUCCA
This 23-nucleotide small nuclear RNA is filed under the name Arabidopsis thaliana (thale cress). Its description in RNAcentral is "snRNA_18127". Lineage: Eukaryota; Viridiplantae; Streptophyta; Magnoliopsida; Brassicales; Brassicaceae. The record is from RNAcentral.